CCUACGGGAGGCAGCAGUGGGGAAUAUUGCACAAUGGGGGGAACCCUGAUGCAGCGACGCCGCGUGAGUGAAGGAGUAUUUCGGUAUGUAAAGCUCUAUCAGCCAGGUAGAAGAUGACCGUACCUGACUAAGAAGCCCCGGCUAACUACGUUCCAGCAGCCGCGGUAAUACGUAGGGGGCAAGCGUUAUCCGGAUUUACUGGGUGUAAAGGGAGCGUAGAUGGCAGGUCAAGUCUGGAGUGAAAGCCCGGGGCCCAACCCCGGGACUGCAUUGGAAACUGCCAUUCUAGAGUGCUGGAGAGGUAAGCGGAAUUCCUAGUGUAGCGGUGAAAUGCGUAGAUAUUAGGAGGAACACCAGUGGCGAAGGCGGCUUACUGGACAGUAACUGACGUUGAGGCUCGAAAGCGUGGGGAGCAAACAGGAUUAGAUACCCUUGUAGUC
Molecule: ribosomal RNA, 440 nt
Filed under: uncultured bacterium
Lineage: Bacteria
Description: partial 16S ribosomal RNA
Rfam family: Bacterial small subunit ribosomal RNA
Source: RNAcentral